RNAcentral lists this ribosomal RNA (27 nucleotides) under Sticta sublimbata. Its description in RNAcentral is "partial 28S ribosomal RNA". The record is from RNAcentral. Lineage: Eukaryota; Fungi; Ascomycota; Lecanoromycetes; Peltigerales; Lobariaceae.
GGAUACCCGCUGAACUUAAGCAUAUCA